CAGUCGCCGCGCGGUAAUACAGAGGAUGCAAGCGUUAUCCGGAAUGAUUGGGCGUAAAGCGUCUGUAGGUGGCUUUUCAAGUCCGCCGUCAAAUCCCCGGGCUCAACCCUGGACAGGCAGUGGAAACUACCAAGCUGGAGUACGGUAGGGGCAGAGGGAAUUUCCGGUGGAGUAGUGAAAUGCGUUGAGAUUGGAAAGAACACCAAUGGCAAAAGCACUCUGCUAGGCUGACACUUACACUGAGAGACGAAAGCUAGGGGAGAAAAUGGGAUUAGAUACCCGGGUAGUCCCUGUCUCUUAU
Molecule: ribosomal RNA, 301 nt
Filed under: uncultured bacterium
Lineage: Bacteria
Description: partial 16S ribosomal RNA
Rfam family: Bacterial small subunit ribosomal RNA
Source: RNAcentral